This is a long non-coding RNA of Oreochromis aureus, 2643 nucleotides long. Lineage: Eukaryota; Metazoa; Chordata; Actinopteri; Cichliformes; Cichlidae. The record is from Ensembl.
GAUGAGCUGGAGGAGGUGGCUGGGGAGAGGAGGUCUGGGCUUCUCUGCUUAGGCUGCUGCCCCCGCGACCCGACUUCGGAUAAAGCGGAUGAGGAUGGAUGGAUGGAUGGAUGGAUGGAUGGAGAAACCAACCCUUCAGGUUUCUUGACCAUAGUCAGCCAGAUCCAACACCCUCAUUGAUCAUGUUCAGUUUCAAAACACCAAGAGCUGGUCGUGAGAAAUAUUGAACUUAAGGGUUCAAGACGGGAUGGGGGACAUCACAGAGGCUACAUUUAUUUUUAAUACGGGAUCAUCUUUUUUAUUGUGGCUCCUGAUGUCAAUAUAAGGUCUUUAAUAUAAAAAAAUGUGUAUAAAGUGUGUAAAAUUCUAAAAGAAAGAAAACCCCACUAUAAUACAGCUCUGUACUUAGACAACCAGGUCAGAAGUUGGAAUCAAUUGUGUUUUUACUGUCCACAUCCCCUCUGGGGAAUAGAUUCAAUAAGUCUAUUAUCUCAGCCAGGCCAAUCACAUCAACUGAUCGCACCUGUGUGAGGCAGAGUUUGCUUCAGCCCAACUUUUUAUUAGGAAGUUAGAAAAGACACACACAGACAGACACGUGGCUUGGACGCUCAACUUUGAGGCUCGUGGGUGUUUGGUUGGAGGAGCUGGAAGUUGGGCCUUCUGGAUCCACGGCUGACAGGGCAGCUGUGCAUGCACAGUCCCGCUCAGCGCUCGUAGCUGUGAGGACACAGCGAGUGCAGCUGCAGCGGUCAUGGCUGCUGGCUUCCUAAUUACAAGAUUAUUGCUGGUCUGUUUGUUGAGUGAGGUGAACUACUCCUCAGCUUUUCCAAGAGCCAGAAGUUUUGUGCAACCGAGAGUGUGGCAAAGUGAAGGAGAGGAGGAAGAAGUCUAUAACUAUGAGAACUGUCAUCCUUUCUACUACAUCAGUGCCCAGGACAAAACAUCGGAAAAGCAGGGAGGUUUUAUGGCAGCCCCUAUCCAUAUCUGUAAACAAAACCAUCCCAGUGUGUACCAAAAAGCCUUAAACCUCAAGCCUGCAAACCCCUUCCAGCCACGAUCUAAUGUUGCCACCAAAUGGCCAAAGAAGACUGUUCUACCCCAGCCUCCAUCACAGAAGAAAUAUCUAUCACCCAAACCCAAAAGCUAUGAAUUUAGUCUGAGCAUUCCUUAUUUUGAUCUUUUGGUCAGAAAUGAAGGGGGGGAUUUGGCCAGUGAAGGACAUGAUGGUGGAAAUUAUACUGCUCCUGUCUCCAAACCAGGCUUUCAAAUCGAUUUAUCCAUUCCCUUAUCAUCUGUUUCUCAAUCUCCCAAUAUCCCAAUGACCAGCUAUGUUGACCAUUCAGUAAAUCAAGAAAAUCCAGAGAACACUGAGUUUGUCAAUUACGGUAACAUAAAGCCGGAAAUGCCACAAUCAAGGCAACCCUUCUUAAACUCUGCUGGUAGUAGUUACUUAGAUGCACAGGAGCAGACUUAUCAACCAUAUUCCAUCGAAACACAAUCAAGUUCAACUCUUCUUGGAUCAGCAAGACCUUUUCUAAAUUUUCAAACACAGGAGCAGACUUAUGGACCAGGUCACGUUAAACCACAAACUUCCACCCUGCAUGAAACUGAAAGGCCUUUCUUCAACUUUGAAACACCACCACAAGAGACUUUAGAGCCAAGUCGUGUUAAACCCCAAUCAAGUUCUGCAAUAACUGGAUCAGAAUGGCCUUUCUUUAACUCGGCAGCAACACAGCACCAGACAUAUGAACCAGGUUAUCUUAAACCACAAUCAAUUUCAGGCCCGGGAGGAUCAGAUUGGCCUGCUUUAAACUCAGCACCAACCCAGCCACAAACCUUUGAGGCUGAUGGUAUUAAACCGCAAUCAAGUUCAACCCUUGGCACAUCAGAAUGGCCUGCCUUCAAUUUGGCACCACCACGGCAACAAACCUUUGAGGGAGAUGGUCUUAAACCACAGUCAAGUUUAACCCUUGGUGGAUCAGAAUCUCCUGUCCUAAACUUGGCACCAAUUCAUCAACAGACUCAUGAGUCAGGUUAUCUUAAGCCUCAAUCAAGUUCAACCCUUGGUGGAUCAGAAUGGCCUGCCUUCAAUUUGCCACCAACUCUGCAACAAACCUUUGAGCCAAGUCACGUUAAGCCACAAUACAGUUCAGCCCUGGAUGGAUCAGAAUGGCCUGCCUUCAACCAGGCACCAAUUCAGCAACAGACUCACGAGUCAGGUUAUCUUAAACCACAAUCAAGUUUAACUGUUGGUGGAUCAGAAUGGCCUGCCUUCAAUUUGCCACCACCAUGGCAACAAUCCUUUGAGGGAGAUGGUCUUAAACCACAAUCCAGUUCAGCAAUAGCUGGAUCAGAAUGGCCUGCCUUAAACUCAGCAGCAACACAGCAACAGACUCAUGAGUUGGGUUAUCUUAAACUGCAAUCAAGUUCAGCCCUGGAGGGAUCAGAAUGGCCUGCCUUAAACUUGGCACCAACUCUGCAACAGGCUUCUUUACACAGGCUUCUUUAACUCAGUGUCAACUCUGUUCAAUCUGUGCCCAUUUCUGCCAAGACUGUAACUCACCAUGUAAAUAAAUAUACAAUUUCCUUCUUGCAUCUGAUGUCAUCAUUUAUAUUUUUAUACUUUUGACUGAUACAUCUCUG